UGUCUCCCAGCCCAAGGUGCAGUGCUGCAUCUCUGGUCAGUUGUGAGUCUGAGAUGAAGCACUGUAGCUCGGGAAGGGGGAAU
MicroRNA precursor from Xenopus tropicalis (tropical clawed frog), 83 nucleotides. Ensembl annotates it as xtr-mir-143. Its record names the gene xtr-mir-143. NCBI's taxonomy places the organism in Eukaryota, Metazoa, Chordata, Amphibia, Anura, Pipidae. The record is from Ensembl.